UACGGAGGGUGCAAACGUUGUCCGGAUUUAUUGGGUGUAAAGCGCGCGUAGACGGUUUUGUAAGUCAGAUGUGAAAUCCCUGGGCUCAACCUGGGAACUGCAUUUGAAACUGCAUGGCUAGAGUAUGGAAGAGGGAAGUGGAAUUUCCGGUGUAGCGGUGAAAUGCGUAGAUAUCGGAAGGAACACCAGUGGCGAAAGCGACUUCCUGGUCCAAUACUGACGUUCAUGUGCGAAAGCGUGGGGAGCAAACAGG
This 253-nucleotide ribosomal RNA is filed under the name uncultured bacterium. RNAcentral describes it as "partial 16S ribosomal RNA". It matches the Rfam family "Bacterial small subunit ribosomal RNA", at positions 524 to 776 of the family's 1533-position model. The record is from RNAcentral.